Molecule: ribosomal RNA, 280 nt
Filed under: Bacillus sp. (in: firmicutes)
Lineage: Bacteria; Bacillati; Bacillota; Bacilli; Caryophanales; Bacillaceae
Description: Bacillus sp. (in: Bacteria) partial 16S ribosomal RNA
Source: RNAcentral
AGCUUGCUCCCUUAGGUCAGCGGCGGACGGGUGAGUAACACGUGGGUAACCUGCCUGUAAGACUGGGAUAACUCCGGGAAACCGGGGCUAAUACCGGAUGCUUGAUUGAACCGCAUGGUUCAAUCAUAAAAGGGGGCUUUUARCUACCACUUWCAGAUGGACCCGCGGCGCAUUAACUARUUGGKGAGGUAACGGCUCACCAAGGCSACSAUGCSUARCCSACCUGARAGGGUGAUCGGCCMCMCUGGGACUGAAACACGGCCCAAACUCCUACGGGAGG